AACGCGAAGAACCUUACCUGGAUUUGACAUCUCCGGACAACCCUAGAGAUAGGGCUUUCGUAGCAAUACGACCGGAAGACAGGUGCUGCAUGGCUGUCGUCAGCUCGUGUGGUGACAUGUUGGGUUAAGUCCCGCAACGAGCGCAACCCUUGUCCUUAGUUGCCAGCAUUCAGUUGGGCUCUCUAAGGAGACUGCCGUGGUUAACACGGAGGAAGGUGGGGAUGACGUCAAGUCCUCAUGGCCUUUAUAUCCAGGGCGACACACGUGAUACAAUGGUCGGUACAGAGGGAAGCGAAGGGGCGACCUGGAGCCAAUCUCAAAAAGCCGAUCUCAGUUCGGAUUGGAGUCUGCAACUCGACUCCAUGAAGUUGGAAUCGCUAGUAAUCGCGGAUCAGCACGCCGCGGUGAAUACGUUCCCGGGCCUUGUACACACCGAGUAUA
RNAcentral lists this ribosomal RNA (441 nucleotides) under uncultured bacterium. Its description in RNAcentral is "bacterial SSU rRNA". It matches the Rfam family "Bacterial small subunit ribosomal RNA", at positions 958 to 1398 of the family's 1533-position model. The record is from RNAcentral.